AACCACAGCCAUGUCACCCUGCAGCGCAAGACCGGUUACUCACUGAAGCUAAGCAGGGCUGAGCCUGGUCAGUACCUGGAUGUGAGACCACUAGGGAACACUAGGUUGCUGUUGGAA
This is a non-coding RNA of Danio rerio (zebrafish), 117 nucleotides long. The record is from Rfam. NCBI's taxonomy places the organism in Eukaryota, Metazoa, Chordata, Actinopteri, Cypriniformes, Danionidae.